RNAcentral lists this ribosomal RNA (404 nucleotides) under Actinomycetes bacterium. RNAcentral describes it as "Actinobacteria bacterium partial 16S ribosomal RNA". It matches the Rfam family "Bacterial small subunit ribosomal RNA", at positions 355 to 776 of the family's 1533-position model. The record is from RNAcentral. Lineage: Bacteria; Bacillati; Actinomycetota; Actinomycetes.
UGGGGAAUAUUGGACAAUGGGCGCACGCCUGAUCCAGCCAUGCCGCGUGAGUGAUGAAGGCCCUAGGUUUGUAAAGCUCUUUCACCGGUGAAGAUAAUGACGGUAACCGGAGAAGAAGCCCCGGCUAACUUCGUGCCAGCAGCCGCGGUAAUACGAAGGGGGCUAGCGUUGUUCGGAUUUACUGGGCGUAAAGCGCACGUAGGCGGACUAUUAAGUCAGGGGUGAAAUCGCGGGGCUCAACCCCGGAACUGCCUUUGAUACUGGUAGUCUUGAGUGCGAAGGAGGUGGGUGGAAAACCGAGUGUAGAGGUGAAAAUCGUAGAUAUUCGGAGGAACACAAGUGGCGAAGGCGGCUCACUGGCUGGAUACUGACGCUGAGGUGCGAAAGAGUGGGGGGCAAAAAAG